GUCAGGAUGGCCGAGCGGUCUAAGGCGCCAGACUCAAGGGUCACUCCUUCUCGGUUCAAAAACCGAGUUUUCCGGGCUUUCUGGUCCUCUCUGAGGGCGUGGGUUCGAAUCCCACUUCUGACA
Molecule: transfer RNA, 123 nt
Filed under: Atta colombica
Lineage: Eukaryota; Metazoa; Arthropoda; Insecta; Hymenoptera; Formicidae
Rfam family: tRNA
About the family: Transfer RNA (tRNA) molecules are approximately 80 nucleotides in length. Their secondary structure includes four short double-helical elements and three loops (D, anti-codon, and T loops). Further hydrogen bonds mediate the characteristic L-shaped molecular structure. tRNAs have two regions of fundamental functional importance: the anti-codon, which is responsible for specific mRNA codon recognition, and the 3' end, to which the tRNAs corresponding amino acid is attached (by aminoacyl-tRNA synthetases). tRNAs cope with the degeneracy of the genetic code in two manners: having more than one tRNA (with a specific anti-codon) for a particular amino acid; and 'wobble' base-pairing, i.e. permitting non-standard base-pairing at the 3rd anti-codon position.
Source: Rfam by way of RNAcentral